RNAcentral lists this unclassified non-coding RNA (243 nucleotides) under uncultured Lasiosphaeriaceae. RNAcentral describes it as "sequence contains ITS2". The stretch from base 1 to 52 matches the Rfam family "5.8S ribosomal RNA", at positions 103 to 154 of the family's 154-position model. The record is from RNAcentral. Lineage: Eukaryota; Fungi; Ascomycota; Sordariomycetes; Sordariales; Lasiosphaeriaceae.
AACGCACAUUGCGCCCGCCAGUAUUCUGGCGGGCAUGCCUGUUCGAGCGUCAUUUCAACCAUCAAGCGCCUUGCUUGUGUUGGGGCCCUGCGGCUGCCGCAGGCCCCUAAAUCCAGUGGCGGGCUCGUCGUGGUACCGAGUGCAGUAAACAUCCUCGCUCAGGGAACCCGACGGGUGCCGGCCGUGAAACCCCCCCUCCUUAAGGUUGACCUCGGAUCAGGUAGGAAUACCCGCUGAACUUAA